RNAcentral lists this long non-coding RNA (341 nucleotides) under Prunus dulcis (almond). RNAcentral's name for it is "sRNA ncRNA". The record is from RNAcentral. Lineage: Eukaryota; Viridiplantae; Streptophyta; Magnoliopsida; Rosales; Rosaceae.
CAAACAGUGACUCACCUAGGGUACAUAAGUUGCGUAGAAAACCCAAUUUGGUCAUGGACUCAUGGCAGCCUUGGAGUUGGGGUAUCACCGCUCUCAUCAUGCUUUGUUCUGUGCUAUAAACAGAAACAGAAUAGCAGACUGAGAUACCAUUUCAAGUUUUCCUUUUAAUAUUGUUUCUAAUUUUAUAGAAUUAAUUUUUUUUUUCUUGUUUGAUACAUAGCGUGAAGAUUGUAUUAACAUUGAUAAUAUAAUUAAUAUUUUUUUCUUGUUUAAUCUUUAUACAAAAAUUACGGUAUCAAUUAUGCGAAAAGCCUUGACAAACGCAGCCAACAUACUUUAUA